CCUACGGGAGGCAGCAGUGAGGAAUAUUGUACAAUGGGCGAAACCCUGAUGCAGCGACGCCGCGUGAAUGAAGAAGGAAUUCGUUAUGUAAAGCUCUAUCAGCAGGGAAGAAAAUGACGGUACCUGAGUAACAAGCCCCGUCUAACUACGUGCCAGCAGCCGCGGUAAUGCGUAGGUGGCAAGCGUUAUCCGGAUUGAUUGGGUGUAAAGGGUGCGUAGACGGAGAAGCAAGUUAGUUGUGAAAUCCCUCGGCUUAACUGAGGAAUUGCAACUAAAACUACUUCCCUUGAGUACUGGAGAGGAAGGUGGAAUUCCUAGUGUAGCGGUGAAAUGCGUAGAUAUUAGGAGGAACACCAGUGGCGAAGGCGACUUUCUGGACAGUAACUGACGUUGAGGCACGAAAGUGUGGGUAGCAAACAGGAUUAGAUACCCUUGUAGUC
RNAcentral lists this ribosomal RNA (440 nucleotides) under uncultured bacterium. Its description in RNAcentral is "partial 16S ribosomal RNA". It matches the Rfam family "Bacterial small subunit ribosomal RNA", at positions 338 to 795 of the family's 1533-position model. The record is from RNAcentral.